GCAGUAGCCGCGGUAAUACGGAGGGUGCAAGCGUUAAUCGGAAUUACUGGGCGUAAAGCGCACGCAGGCGGUUUGUUAAGUCAGAUGUGAAAUCCCCGAGCUUAACUUGGGAACUGCAUUUGAAACUGGCAAGCUAGAGUCUUGUAGAGGGUGGUAGAAUUCCAGGUGUAGCGGUGAAAUGCGUAGAGAUCUGGAGGAAUACCGGUGGCGAAGGCGGCCCCCUGGACAAAGACUGACGCUCAGGUGCGAAGGCGUGGGGAGCAAACAGGAUUAGAUACCCCGGUAGUCCCUGUCUCUUAUAC
RNAcentral lists this ribosomal RNA (302 nucleotides) under uncultured bacterium. RNAcentral describes it as "partial 16S ribosomal RNA". It matches the Rfam family "Bacterial small subunit ribosomal RNA", at positions 508 to 807 of the family's 1533-position model. The record is from RNAcentral.